RNAcentral lists this ribosomal RNA (462 nucleotides) under Serratia marcescens. RNAcentral describes it as "bacterial SSU rRNA". It matches the Rfam family "Bacterial small subunit ribosomal RNA", at positions 71 to 525 of the family's 1533-position model. The record is from RNAcentral. Lineage: Bacteria; Pseudomonadati; Pseudomonadota; Gammaproteobacteria; Enterobacterales; Yersiniaceae.
CAGGGAGAGCUUGCUCCCUGGGUGACGAGCGGCGGACGGGUGAGUAAUGUCUGGGAAACUGCCUGAUGGAGGGGGAUAACUACUGGAAACGGUAGCUAAUACCGCAUAACGUCGCAAGACCAAAGAGGGGGACCUUCGGGCCUCUUGCCAUCAGAUGUGCCCAGAUGGGAUUAGCUAGUAGGUGGGGUAAUGGCUCACCUAGGCGACGAUCCCUAGCUGGUCUGAGAGGAUGACCAGCCACACUGGAACUGAGACACGGUCCAGACUCCUACGGGAGGCAGCAGUGGGGAAUAUUGCACAAUGGGCGCAAGCCUGAUGCAGCCAUGCCGCGUGUGUGAAGAAGGCCUUCGGGUUGUAAAGCACUUUCAGCGAGGAGGAAGGUGGUGAACUUAAUACGUUCAUCAAUUGACGUUACUCGCAGAAGAAGCACCGGCUAACUCCGUGCCAGCAGCCGCGGUAAUA